RNAcentral lists this non-coding RNA (29 nucleotides) under Rattus norvegicus (Norway rat). The record is from RNAcentral. Lineage: Eukaryota; Metazoa; Chordata; Mammalia; Rodentia; Muridae.
UCAUUAUUCUCCACCAGAAGUAAACAUGA